UUUCAUAAGCUUGACACGACC
This 21-nucleotide non-coding RNA is filed under the name Caenorhabditis elegans. The record is from RNAcentral. Lineage: Eukaryota; Metazoa; Nematoda; Chromadorea; Rhabditida; Rhabditidae.